GAUGAACGCUGGCGGUAUGCUUAACACAUGCAAGUCGAACGGAAUCUUAGGAUUCAGUGGCGGACGGGUGAGUAACGCGUGAGAAUCUGGCUCUAGGUCGGGGACAACAGUUGGAAACGACUGCUAAUACCGGAUGUGCCGAGAGGUGAAAGAUUUAUUGCCUAGAGAUGAGCUCGCGUCUGAUUAGCUAGUUGGUGUGGUAAGAGCGCACCAAGGCGACGAUCAGUAGCUGGUCUGAGAGGAUGAUCAGCCACACUGGGACUGAGACACGGCCCAGACUCCUACGGGAGGCAGCAGUGGGGAAUUUUCCGCAAUGGGCGAAAGCCUGACGGAGCAAUACCGCGUGAGGGAGGAAGGCUCUUGGGUUGUAAACCUCUUUUCUCAAGGAAUAAGAAAGUGAAGGUACUUGAGGAAUAAGCAUCGGCCAACUCCGUGCCAGCAGCCGCGGUAAUACGGAGGAUGCAAGCGUUAUCCGGAAUGAUUGGGCGUAAAGGGUCCGCAGGUGGCAAUGUAAGUCUGCUGUUAAAGAAUGAGGCUGAACCUCAUCAAGGCAGUGGAAACUACAUAGCUAGAGUACGGUCGGGGUAGAAGGAAUUCCUGGUGUAGCGGUGAAAUGCGUAGAGAUCAGGAAGAACACCGGUGGCGAAAGCGUUCUGCUAGGCCUGUACUGACACUGAGGGACGAAAGCUAGGGGAGCGAAUGGGAUUAGAUACCCCAGUAGUCCUAGCCGUAAACGAUGGAUACUAGGCGUGGCUUGUAUCGACCCGAGCCGUGCCGGAGCCAACGCGUUAAGUAUCCCGCCUGGGGAGUACGCACGCAAGUGUGAAACUCAAAGGAAUUGACGGGGGCCCGCACAAGCGGUGGAGUAUGUGGUUUAAUUCGAUGCAACGCGAAGAACCUUACCAAGACUUGACAUGUCGCGAAUCCUCUUGAAAGGGAGGAGUGCCUUCGGGAGCGCGAACACAGGUGGUGCAUGGCUGUCGUCAGCUCGUGUCGUGAGAUGUUGGGUUAAGUCCCGCAACGAGCGCAACCCUCGUUCUUAGUUGCCAGCAUUAAGUUGGGCACUCUAGAGAGACUGCCGGUGACAACCGGAGGAAGGUGGGGAUGACGUCAAGUCAGCAUGCCCCUUACGUCUUGGGCUACACACGUACUACAAUGCUACGGACAGAGGGCAGCUAAACAGCGAUGUUAAGCAAAUCCCGUAAACCGUAGCUCAGUUCAGAUCGCAGGCUGCAACUCGCCUGCGUGAAGGAGGAAUCGCUAGUAAUUGCAGGUCAGCAUACUGCAGUGAAUUCGUUCCCGGGCCUUGUACACACCGCCCGUCACACCAUGGAAGCUGGCAACGCCCGAAGUCAUUACUCCAACUUUUCGGAGAGGAGGAUGCCUAAGGCAGUGCUGGUGACUGGGGUGAA
Molecule: ribosomal RNA, 1412 nt
Filed under: Nostoc sp. CENA219
Lineage: Bacteria; Bacillati; Cyanobacteriota; Cyanophyceae; Nostocales; Nostocaceae
Description: bacterial SSU rRNA
Rfam family: Bacterial small subunit ribosomal RNA
Source: RNAcentral